Molecule: long non-coding RNA, 1032 nt
Filed under: Saimiri boliviensis boliviensis (Bolivian squirrel monkey)
Lineage: Eukaryota; Metazoa; Chordata; Mammalia; Primates; Cebidae
Description: lncRNA (ENSSBOG00000036532.1)
Source: RNAcentral
GUAGAGAAAAGGAAGUCCCUCACAGUAACCGGCACCAUAAUCAAGACAGAAUGUUUUCAGAAUAAAUUGAGUUAUCUGCUUUCAGCCCCAGGUGGUAGCUGUUCUCUGCCCUGAUGAUAUGUGAUAAUAAUUUGUGAUCCUCAUGUCUUAAAAUGGAGUCACUUAUCUCCAGUAGAAUUAAGUCUACAGUGAGGGGUUGUCCCCUCAUCCCCAAAGAGAUGAACACAUGAAUGGGCUGAGGUGAUAACAAUUAUUGCUGCCUGAGAUCAUGAGAGACCUGAAGUGAACUGAUAGGAAGUGAAAGGUGGCUGAGAACCAGAGAAUGGACCCAUCUGCAGAGGAUCAUAAAACCAGCAGAGACAAGAUCUUGUCUAAGAUGUGUUCAGAAGCUUUGUCCAUGAGAACUGCAAGGACUUAUUCACACCUGGUGGCUGCUGCUAUGAUCUCUGCCCCAAAGGAACAUCUGACCAGCAUCCAAAGGGCUUCUGGACCCACUGGAUUCCUCUGGAGGAGGCAAAGGAGGACCAAUGACUGGAAUAGCAAAGAACUCCAGGAUUCAUGAUGAACUAAUUGCUAGAGCAAAAAUAUACAAGAUCUCUCUAACUUAUAAUGGGGAAGGGGUAACAGAAGUUGGAUGAGACAAUACCCAAACGUGAUUUCCAGGUUUACUGAACCCAAACUGAACAAUGGAAGACUGUAGAUGACACCAUUAAGAUUUCUCAAGAAUAUGGAAGAUUAUUAUUCACUUCUGAUGGGACCUUAUAGGGCUUUGGAGUCUGACCCUUCUGAUCAUCCAGGAGCAAAGAAAUCUCAAGCAGAUGCACAAGAAAUAGGAGAAAACAGCGAUACAAACCAUAUAGAUACGUAUUUUUUUUCUUUGAAAUGCAACUCGUGCUCGACGAUUUUCCUGGACGACAGCACAGCCAGCUGCCCUCAUUUUAAAAUGACACUAAAAUCGUGAGUACAACUCUACUGCCAAGGGACAGAUUAAAAUUAUUUCAGCCAUUUGUUUGUCCUCUUCAAUCCGUUUAA